UUUAUACCAUUAUUAUUAUUGCUUUAAGCAGUGACCAAAAUAUUUUCUUUGUUAGCACAAGAAUGAGCAACAAAGGCAAAAGAGAAGCAGAAGCUGGGAUACAUAUGAUGACAUCAAAAAGACAUCACACAUUUAUGAGAAACUCUGGAAAGAUACUCCUAGCCUCUAAGGCAGCCUCAAUGAGGUAGAUAGCUGAGAGUGAUGUCUGGAGACAUGAAGCCCUGACAUGCAGUAAGCGCAGACUGAAUACACAGAACGCUG
This is a long non-coding RNA of Coturnix japonica (Japanese quail), 261 nucleotides long. The record is from Ensembl. Lineage: Eukaryota; Metazoa; Chordata; Aves; Galliformes; Phasianidae.